GACGAACGCUGGCGGCGUGGAUUAGGCAUGCAAGUCGAACGGUAUCAUCCUUUCGGGGGUGAGAGAGUGGCGAACUGGUGAGUAACACGUAGGUUAUCUACCCUCAAGACGGGGACAACCCAGGGAAACUUGGGCUAAUACCGGAUGUGAGCAACUUUUAGUUGUUUGAAAGGUGGCGUAAGCUGUCGCUUGGGGAUGAGCCUGCGUCCUAUUAGUUAGUUGGUGAGGUAACGGCUCACCUAGGCAAUGAUAGGUAGGCGGCCUUAACGGGUGGUCGCCCACACUGGGAUUGAGAUACGGCCCAGACUCCUACGGGAGGCAGCAGUCGAGAAUAGUCUACAAUGGUCGGAAGACUGAUAGUGCGACGCCGCGUGAACGAUGAAUCCCUUCGGGGUGUAAAGUUCUUUUAUAUGUGAGCAGUGCUUCUUAUAUUAACAGUAUGGGGAGAGAGAUAUUAGCAUAUGAAUAAGCAACGGCUAAACUCCGUGCCAGCCAGCCGCGGU
RNAcentral lists this ribosomal RNA (503 nucleotides) under uncultured bacterium. Its description in RNAcentral is "bacterial SSU rRNA". It matches the Rfam family "Bacterial small subunit ribosomal RNA", at positions 28 to 521 of the family's 1533-position model. The record is from RNAcentral.